This 58-nucleotide long non-coding RNA is filed under the name Vicia faba (fava bean). The record is from RNAcentral. Lineage: Eukaryota; Viridiplantae; Streptophyta; Magnoliopsida; Fabales; Fabaceae.
GUUAACUGAAAGAGGGAUCUUGAAGACAAGUGAUUUGAGAAGGGUUAAAUACAAUUGA